GACGAACGCUGGCGGCGUGCCUAAUACAUGCAAGUCGAGCGCAGGAAAUCAUCCGAACCCUUCGGGGGACGUUGGUGGAAUGAGCGGCGGACGGGUGAGUAACACGUAAAGAACCUGCCCUCAGGUCUGGGAUAACCACGAGAAAUCGGGGCUAAUACCGGAUGGGUCAUCGGACCGCAUGGUCCGAGGAUGAAAGGCGCUUUAGCGGCGCCUGGGGAUGGCUUUGCGGUGCAUUUGCUAGUUGGUGGGGUAAUGGCCCACCAAGGCGACGAUGCAUAGCCGACCUGAGAGGGUGAUCGGCCACACUGGGACUGAGACACGGCCCAGACUCCUACGGGAGGCAGCAGUAGGGAAUCUUCCACAAUGGACGAAAGUCUGAUGGAGCAACGCCGCGUGAACGAUGAAGGCCUUCGGGUCGUAAAGUUCUGUUGUAAGGGAAGAACAAGUGCCGCAGGCAAUGGCGGCACCUUGACGGUACCUUGCGAGAAAGCCACGGCUAACUACGUGCCAGCCGCCGCCGUAA
This 523-nucleotide ribosomal RNA is filed under the name uncultured bacterium. Its description in RNAcentral is "partial 16S ribosomal RNA". It matches the Rfam family "Bacterial small subunit ribosomal RNA", at positions 28 to 523 of the family's 1533-position model. The record is from RNAcentral.